This 460-nucleotide ribosomal RNA is filed under the name uncultured bacterium. RNAcentral describes it as "partial 16S ribosomal RNA". It matches the Rfam family "Bacterial small subunit ribosomal RNA", at positions 338 to 795 of the family's 1533-position model. The record is from RNAcentral.
CCUACGGGCGGUAGCAGUGAGGAAUAUUGGUCAAUGGACGAGAGUCUGAACCAGCCAAGUAGCGUGAAGGAUGACUGCCCUAUGGGUUGUAAACUUCUUUUAUAUGGGAAUAAAAUUAUCCACGUGUGGGAUUUUGUAUGUACCAUAUGAAUAAGGAUCGGCUAACUCCGUGCCAGCAGCCGCGGUAAUACGGAGGAUCCGAGCGUUAUCCGGAUUUAUUGGGUUUAAAGGGAGCGUAGGUGGAUUGUUAAGUCAGUUGUGAAAGUUUGCGGCUCAACCGUAAAAUUGCAGUUGAAACUGGCAGUCUUGAGUACAGUAGAGGUGGGCGGAAUUCGUGGUGUAGCGGUGAAAUGCUUAGAUAUCACGAAGAACUCCGAUUGCGAAGGCAGUUCACUGGACUGCAACUGACACUGAGGCUCGAAAGUGUGGGUAUCAAACAGGAUUAGAUACCCUUGUAGUC